Molecule: ribosomal RNA, 506 nt
Filed under: uncultured bacterium
Lineage: Bacteria
Description: partial 16S ribosomal RNA
Rfam family: Bacterial small subunit ribosomal RNA
Source: RNAcentral
AGUGAACGCUGGCGGUAGGCCUAACACAUGCAAGUCGAACGGCAGCACAGGAGAGCUUGCUCUCUGGGUGGCGAGUGGCGGACGGGUGAGGAAUACAUCGGAAUCUACUCUGUCGUGGGGGAUAACGUAGGGAAACUUACGCUAAUACCGCAUACGACCUACGGGUGAAAGCAGGGGACCUUCGGGCCUUGCGCGAUUGAAUGAGCCGAUGUCGGAUUAGCUAGUUGGCGGGGUAAAGGCCCACCAAGUCGACGAGCCGUAGCUGGUCUGAGAGGAUAAUCAGCCACACUGGAACUGUGACACGGUCCAGACUCCUACGGGAGGCAGCAGUGGGGAAUAUUGGACAAUGGGCGCAAGCCUGAUCCAGCCAUACCGCGUGGGUGAAGAAGGCCUUCGGGUUGUAAAGCCCUUUUGUUGGGAAAGAAAUCCAGCUGGCUAAUACCCGGUUGGGAUGACGGUACCCAAAGAAUAAGCACCGGCUAACUUCGUGCCAGCCGCCGCCGCAA